This is a long non-coding RNA of Humulus lupulus (European hop), 1041 nucleotides long. RefSeq lists it as uncharacterized. Lineage: Eukaryota; Viridiplantae; Streptophyta; Magnoliopsida; Rosales; Cannabaceae. The record is from RefSeq and is a predicted model, not a curated record. The transcript is spliced from 6 exons.
CGAAAAUAAUAUAUGGGUAAAAAAAUUUCAGCACAAAUGCAAGAGAGAAAACUCAGCACAUUUGGGGAUUUAGGUUCGGUAGGGCUUGGAUUGAUGGAGGAGCGUGGGUGAACGGUGGCUGGUGAACGGCGAUGGAGGAGCGUGGGUUCUCGCCUCCAGCAAGCGUGGGCUCUUGGGACCCAGGGAAAUCUUCUCCGGCAUCGUGGGUUCUCGUCUCCAGCACCUCAGCUCGCUGCGGCGGCACGAGUUCUCGGCGGUGGGGGAAAUUUCUGGGUUGACGUACAUAGUUCAUGGCAUAUAGCAGCAGCAAGAUGACAUCAGGAACUAUAUUUACCAUUCAAUUAAACAUGGAAUUCCACUUGCAACGUUUCGCAAAGAAUGCGUUGGAGGUGACUCUCAUAGAAUUUCAUACUGGUAUGAAGAUGAUGAAAUGGUUGGUCACAGAAUUUACAGGGAGAUAAGAAAAAUUGAAGUGAAGAAAGCGAAAUCAAAGGGCUCUCAAGUCCCACUCAAUGCAUCAUACUAGUGGGAAAUAGUUGCAAGCAAUUUUGAUGAAUUCCAAGAUGUUUCUAAGAAACUCUUCUCAAGUAAUAAUAGAACAGAGGUUUCACUAGGGAAAAAGUAAAAGAAAGACAUGCUUCCUAAGGUUGAAAGGGUUCAUAAGAGGAAAGAGAGGUUACUGAAGAAGCAACACGGACAAGCUCCUUCUUGAUAAUUUUUACAAUAUGGAUGGGCUUGCUCCAGGGUGCUCCAUUCGAGAUAGAAAACCUGUCACAUAUACUUUUGGGAUGAUUUUAGAAAGAAAUUCAUGGCAGCCAAUCCUUACUUUGGAAAGGCAGUGACGGGGGUGAGUACAAGGACAAGAAGAAGAAAUAUAUGUUGUUUGACAAUGAAUUUAAUGUUUUAUUAUAUUUGUAAUUUUUAUUAGAGUAAAUGAUUCUUGUUUGAAUGGUUAAUUAUUUACUUUGUAAAUCUAGUUAUAUAUUUUUUAAGGUCAAGACGAUUAUACUUUUAAUAAGUUUUGUUAUUUUACUAUAUAAA